This is a long non-coding RNA of Felis catus (domestic cat), 4930 nucleotides long. RefSeq lists it as uncharacterized. NCBI's taxonomy places the organism in Eukaryota, Metazoa, Chordata, Mammalia, Carnivora, Felidae. The record is from RefSeq and is a predicted model, not a curated record. The transcript has 3 exons.
UUCACGAGACAGUGUAGCUGCAGCGUUUCAGGGAUGAUGGAAAAUCACAACACACACCUGGCACCAGGCUUCACCCUUAAAGACCUUGUUCCAGCACCAGCGAAUGUGGCCGCCUUCCGGGGUCUGUUGGGACCCGGUGGCUUCAACGGUCUUUACCAAGUGUCCUUCCAGCAGUGGAACCGCUUUUCCCCGUGUGGCCCGAGAACCUCCCGGACCCCACUCUGUUCCUGGGGAUUCGUCCCUCCCACCAGAGCACCGCCAGUGGGGUAUACAGAGCCGUGCCAGCUGGGACGUUGCCCAUCUUCCUUCUCUAUCUCCCUUUGGCAUUUGGACAAAAAUCCUUGCCUAAUUGCUGCUACCUGUUGGCUGGUUUUCAACAUAUGGAUAUCAACAUGCCUUCCUGGACCACAGUAAAUAAACAAGACACUGUUACUCUUGAUGAAGAGUUCCUGAGAAGUGGUUUUACAUGUAGAUUACUGGGACUCUCAGAUACAACGGAUGGCAGGGUGUCAUCAUAGACUGAGUUUUUACGUUGGGCAAGGGAUGAAUCACUCUGAUCUCAUCACUGGAAUUUACUUUUUACCUUUCUUAAAUUUAGCUCUACAAAAAUUUCCUUCUCAUCAACUAUGGGUUCUGUUUCAAUAACAAGCUCUUGCAGUCCUUCAAUAACAACAAGUCUCUGCAUUGUGAGAAGGUCUUGUAGUUAGACUUUCUUUGCUGAUGCGUGCAAGGAAAGCUUCAACAUUGCUAUUCUUUGAAAAGUGUGGUAGAGAUUUCUAGUACUAAGUAAUCUCCAGGUUUCUUCCCCCUGUGGACAUGUGAGAGGAAUCCUUUUCCUUGCCCCUUGCACGUGACUAGUUCUGGCCAAUGGGAUAUGAGUAAAAGCGAUGUGUGAUUUUCCAGCUGAAGCAUUUAUCUGUUAGUGUGAGACACUCUAUUGCUAAGAUAUGUGUCUAGGAGCAGACUUUAUGGGUUGUGUUGCUAUGUAUGUCUUCAACUUUAUUAUAUAAUGUCUGUUUUGCUUGCAAUAAUUUAUACUUUGGCCAAGGUGAUAAGAAAGAACCCCAUUUAUCCACAUCAUUACUCAAUUUGUAAAUAAUUAACAAAAUUUUGCAGUCUAUUGGCUAUACAGUGGUCUGUUUUUGGUAUAAAAUUGCAUUUCCACGAUUAGUAGUGAAACUGACAAUCCUUUCAUAUAUUUACUGGCCAUUUGGGCUUCAUUUUCUUUGGACCGUUCCUUUCUGUAGGGAUCAUGCCUCAUUUAUAAUUUCUUUAAGUAUUCUCUCUAUAUCUUGGUAACUGUGCACAUUCAGAAUCUUGCUUUCACAAGAAUGACGUCAGAAAACUUGCAGCUAGUGUUCAGCGUAUAACCUAGAUUCUUCCAAUUGGACGGGCCCAUCUAAGGCUUAAUUUACAAGGGAGAAAUGUGAGUGGUAUCUUUAGGGUAACAGUAGCUGCUGUAUCAAUCUCAUUCUCGGCACUGAAACGAUAAUACAUUUACUUCUCACUUAUUAUCAAAGUCUGAUGUGGGAGUUCCUGGUGGAGCAGCCUUCCAUGUGGUCUCUCAGGGACUUAGGCAGUGGAAGAGGUGAGAGAGGACGAUCUAAGGAGGUUUUUACAGACUUUUCCUGGAGACGGUACCCUUCUUGUCUACCUACAUUCUAUUGGCCACAAUUCAGGCACAUGCCACACCUAACAGCAACAGAAAUAUAAUCUAGUCAUGAAUUUUGGUGAAUGCACAGUAGUUCUGCUCCAUGGUGCAAUGAUCUUUUGAUUAGUGUGGUGACAGUUGGCUGGUUUCUUGGGGGAAAGCGAUAGUGGAGUUUUUUAAAUCUCAGAGCAGUGUGGCAAUGGUACUUCAACAGAAGACUCCACAACGUAGUUGUGUGUUCUUCCUGCUCAAGUAGCUUCAGCACUUGGCCUUCUGUCCCUCCUAGGAAUUCUGCUGGCUGUCUACUAUCCUUCAGCAAGGCCCUUGACUGCUUGGACUAGCCUGUGUGGAUUUCAUGAAUUGUAGAUAAGAAUCCUGAGUGUUGUAGUUUCUUACUGUCUUUUGCUUAUUUGUAUUUAUCUUUGAGAUGGGGACUCAGAGAGUAUCUCUACUGAAAUAAGUAAUAGAGUUUACUUCUUUCUGCACAGUAGCCUGUAUGCCUUACUUGUGUUAAUAACAAACCUAUGGCCACGUGUGCAAAAUCUUGUUCACAAUGGACCCAUUUUGUAAGUUUCAAGCCCAAAGACACCUAAACUAAACUAAAUAAGAACCUCCCUAAAUUAAAUGAGAGCAAGGUAAAUAUUUCUAAUUCUUUUUUUCUUUUUCAUAAUUCUUCUGAAGUUGAGGUAGGACCGUCUCAUUUGGAAUCUCAGCAUUGCCACUAAUGGUGAGAGGUGGUGUUGAGAGUGCAAUCCUAACCCUUGAUGGGGUGCUGGCCUCUCUGCUUCCCUCCCUGUCGGGAGUCCUUCAGGCUGGGUAGGGAGGCUGUGACAAAUAGCUGGGAAUCUGGUUGUGUGAUCUUAGAAAUCAACCAGGUAGAGAAUCAAGACAGACUAAGAGAUCAUGAUUAAUCCUUUAUAGAUUCAUGGCUAAUGAGAGAGGCAAGAAUUGAGAAGUUUUAGGGUAGUGUGCAAAUCCCCUGAUAAUUGAGCCUCUUCAAAUACCAGUUUCUCCACUUUUUGGUUCAUAUUGGACUUAAAUGAUAUCCAAGGGCGACCAGUUUAAUAAUGCCACUAUCUAAUUCUUUCAGUUUAAAAUUAGCUAGGUCUCAAUUUCAUCAUACGUAAAAAUGAAGGGUUUCUUCCAGUUGCCAUUUGAUUUGAUUUCAUUAGCAGAUUUUCACUGAUUAUUAUUUUUAGUUGCUUUCAAUAUUCUCCACCAGAUGGCUCUAGUCUCUCAAUGCAAACUCCUAUCCACAGUCUCCUUUUGAGCCAGACUUGUUUUUGUGGGUUAUUGUUCUCUACAUGCUCAGCAUGCUCAACUUCUACUCUUCUCCAAGUUAGGAGAAAAAAAUAAAAAAAAUUAUUUAUUUUGAGAGAGAUAGAGGGAGAGAGUGCACGUGCCUGUGCACGCGAGUUGCGGGGGGCAGUCGGAGAGAGAAAAUCCCAAGUAGGUUCCUGGCUGUCAGGAUGGAGCCCAUUGUUGGGCUCCAUCCCAUGAACUGUUAGAUCAUGAUCAGAGCUGAAACCAAGAGUCGGACACUUAAACGACUGAGCCAUCUAGGCGACCCUCUUCUCCAAGUUUUUAAACAAAACCACUUAAUAGGUUUGAAAGCAGCUUCUUCUUCCUAUAUUCCAUAGCACAUUACUCUCCUUGCUUAAACCGUAGAUCAAGACUUAAAGAAUAAUCUGAUAGAUACCAAGCUAUUCUCUACCAUAAUCCCUACAGUGGGUUGUAGCCAAGCCUAUUGGGCCACACCUGAAGCUGGCCCAUGGGUACUGUUGGAAAUAGAGUGCAGAUAUAGGCAACCAGGCAGCCAAAGUGUCCCCAUAUGGUUUAGGAAGCUCCUAUGAAAGUCAGUGACUUAUUCUGGGUUCUUCUAUCUUGGUGGAUUCCUUAUUCUACUUGACCUGACGAAACCACUCAAUCCUGGGGCCUCACACAGAGUGUGAGGAAUUAGGAAGGCAACAGAAAGUGUUCUACUCAUCUGUACCUUUAUUCUUGUGUAUAUUCUUUUCAUUGCCUGUCAGUUAGUUGGGUAGCAAACAGAUGUGAAAGCAACCUUAAGGCCAGUCUGAAUCAUCUUUCUGCAAAUUGUUGAAUUCAGAUCCAGCUCAAUCUCUAAUUCAAUUCCGUUUCCUAAAAAUAAUCCUGACAUCAUAGAUAUAUCUGUAUAUAUAUAUGUGUAAUAAGUGAUUGGAAAAUUGAGUUUUAUGCUGGUAUGGUACUCAGUUUGGAACAAUGAAAAGACUCAUUUUUCCAUCCCUGGGUUAUGCUGUAUUUGAAGAUCUAGAUCCAUUAGGGGUAAGGUUAGUUGGCAGAAGAAUGUUGGGGAGUAGAAGAGAAGGAAGAGGUUGGAGACUUGGCAUAUGCAUUUAUUCAUUCAGCAGAUAUUUGUCACUGACAUGCACCAGCCACUUUUCUAGAUAUUGGGUAGAUAGUAGCAAGUAGGCUUGGCAAGGAUCCUCCUCGUAUAGAAUUGAUGUUCUUCUGAGGGACGCAGAAAACCGACACAUACUCAGUAAAUCCAUUGGUUUCAGAGAGUCAUCAGUGCUAUGAAGAAGACAUAUGAUAGGGCUGUGGGACACAGGAAUGAGGUGUGAUUUGAGCUGAGGGACUGGAAGCUUGAGAGGCAGUGGCUAAGCUCCCCCAGGGCUAGAAAGAGGACUGUGAGUUCCACAAACAGGGAAGAGCCAAACUUAUCUGAAUUCAGCAUCUCAGCGAUGGAAAGACCUACAAAGUCAAUGGCUGCUAGACUGUCUGAAUACUGGUUAUUAAGGGAUUCUCCCUCAUGGUUGAACUCAGCAUGGAGGAGCGAAUAAAACUGCCUACCCUUGAAUACAUGUAGUAUGUAUAUCCUGGAUUGGGAGCCAAGCAGUGUAUAUCACCUUGGGGUGAUGAUCAGGAACUUCUGAUUAUUUGGAUCCUAUAAGCUUCAUAUAAUAGACACUAGACUUUUCAUCACCUUUGGAAAGUAAGCUCUAAUUAGAUUUAAUUAAAAAAAAAAAGGCAUUUCUUAUAUCCCCAACAUAUAUAAGUUGGUUCUUAUAGCCCCAGAACCAACUACACAUGUGUUACCUAUAAUUGCCUGCCUUGUUUUUCCUAUGAGAACAUCAGUGCCUUGAGGUCAGGCACUUGACCUCAUACACAGAAAGUUCUGGUGACUUGAAAUCUAACAUUCGGUAGCCAUUUCAACAACAAAAAAAGCUUUUUUAAAAAGUUUAUUUAUUUAUUUUGAGAAAGAGAGAGAGAGGCAGAGAGAGAGGGAGAGAGAGAAUC